RNAcentral lists this long non-coding RNA (1867 nucleotides) under Helianthus annuus (common sunflower). RNAcentral describes it as "hypothetical non coding rna". The record is from RNAcentral. Lineage: Eukaryota; Viridiplantae; Streptophyta; Magnoliopsida; Asterales; Asteraceae.
UGUAUAUAAUAGAAAGUUCAUUUGGGUAGGAAGUAAUCUUGACCAUCUAUUUAUUAAUCAAUCCAAAUAAUCAACAAAAACAAGUUUGGGGAUUUUCAUGUUCUUACCUAGUAAAAGACUAGGGCUAAAAAUAUGAAGAUUGAAUGGGUGUUCUUGUGAGAUUCUUCAAUCCAAUGCUCAUUAGAUCCUCCAAGAUGCAAUCAGGGCCACCAAAUCCAAGUGUAAGAGACUUGAUUAUGGAAAAACGAAGAGUAUGGAAGUGAUACUGAGGGUUCCGGCCAAGAGGAGGGGGAGGAAGAUGAGAUGAAUUCAAAUUUUGAUAAAAAAAAAUAACUUAUUAAUGUAAAAACACAAUCAUUAGGCAGGGGAGGGGGGGGGUCUUAGGGGUUUCCAAGGGAGUUUUAGUUACAAAUUAGAGAGGGAGAAAGAGAGUCGGGGAGUGUGUGUGUGUGCAGAGUGUGUGUGUGGGUGUGGGGGGGGGAUAGGGUGGUUGUGUGGUUGUGUGGUGGUGUACGAUAUUAAGUGUAGUCUUAGGUUAGUUAUUAUGAAAAAUCACAUUUAAGUGUUUAUCACUUGAAUUUAAUUGGUAAGUAAUCAUUUUAGGUUUUAUUUUAUAGAAUCACUUAGUUUAUAAAAUAUACUUGCAUAUUUAAUUAGGUGGUCACACUAUACAUAUACAAUAUAUUUUAUCACACAUAUUGCACAUUCAAUUUAUCGUAGAGUAAAACUGUAUCAUCACAAUUUAGGGUUUUAUCUAUCGCUUCGGUAAAUAUUAUUGUUAAUCGGCAUGGUAAUCACCAAUGUCUAAUAAUGCAAAUUCUAUGCAUAUAGCGGGCUAUACUAGACUUCAUGAGACCUAAUUUAGUACAAUUAAGUCUAAUGUACAUAAUUAAAAUAAACGUGAUCAGUUAAAGUGUAUGGAUUUGACCUGAGAAAUUGUCGGUUGUCACAAAAAUACCUUGGGUUUUUAGAGAACAAGAGAGAUUACUUGGAUGAACUUAGAGAGUGUUUUAGGUGAAAAUGAAGUGUGUUGUGGGUGUUUGCUCUUUGUGGUCAGUUUUAAGAAGAGAGAGUGAGAAGGGUGAAAUGCAGGGCUGGCCCAUGGGCCAUUAAAGUCAAGCUAGGGCUUUAGGCCUCCAACUUGAUAGGGCCUCCAACAAAAAAAAUGUAUGUUCUUUGUUGUUUGCGAUUAUGAGCUUAAAAACAAGAAACUGGGCUUACUAUGAGAACUGAUUGGGCUGGCCCCAUACCUGUAAUUAUGUAAACGAACGGGUAUUAAAUGCCUUUGAAAAAAGUAAAUUAGGUUAGAUAGAACUGAAAGGACGAUGGCUAUUGGCAUGCGUGGAUUUAGGUGGUGCAAUAGAAGCGACAACUAUGCUAUUUUUACAAUAAUUUUCUGUUUCCAAUACUUUUAAUGGAACCCACAAAAAUUCGUUGAAAUAUUAGGAUCAAAGAAUUUAGAUUUGAACAGAGGUAACCAUUCAUUGAAUUUUUAUUGUUCUUUAAUAUCUUACUAGGUUAUGGAGGGGGGAUGUAAGAACAUAAAUUUGUUGACUAAUUGCUUAUAGAGAAUGAUGGAGAGGUUUAAUUUAAAUGUACAAGUAUGUUUAGUUAUUUUAGAUGUUCUAUGUAUAAACACAAUCGAUUUUUGUAUGACAGUGAACAAUUAGGUAGUUUUGAAGUUGAAAACUGUUCAAAAGAGGGAAUGUAAUAAUUUUUACGAGAUGGAAAGGAAGCAAUCCACCGAACAGUUGAAGACAACCUCAUGGUGUUAGGAUGCAGUUAAUUUCUUUUGUUUUAUUAGUAUGCGUACUUGUAUUUAACAUACCUCUUGUAACACCCUAGUUACUAAUUAACGAUUUUGUAU